AACGAACGCUGGCGGCAUGCCUAACACAUGCAAGUCGAACGAGACCUUCGGGUCUAGUGGCGCACGGGUGCGUAACGCGUGGGAACCUUCCCUUAGGUUCGGAAUAACUCCCCGAAAUGGGUGCUAAUACCGGAUAAUUUCUUCUGACCAAAGAUUUAUCGCCUUUGGAUGGGCCCGCGUUGGAUUAGCUAGUUGGUAGGGUAAAAGCCUACCAAGGCGACGAUCGAUAGCUGGUCUGAGAGAAUGAUCAGCCACACUGGGACUGAGACACGGCGCAGACUACUACGGGAGGCAGCAGUGGGGAAUAUUGGAAAAUGGGCGAAAGGCUGAACCAGCAAUGCCGCGUGAGUGAUGAAGGCCUGAGGGUUGUAAAGCUCUUUUACCCGGGAUGAUAAUGACAGUACCGGGAGAAUAAGCUCCGGCUAACUCCGUG
Molecule: ribosomal RNA, 433 nt
Filed under: uncultured bacterium
Lineage: Bacteria
Description: partial 16S ribosomal RNA
Rfam family: Bacterial small subunit ribosomal RNA
Source: RNAcentral